Molecule: non-coding RNA, 76 nt
Organism: Myotis lucifugus (little brown bat)
Lineage: Eukaryota; Metazoa; Chordata; Mammalia; Chiroptera; Vespertilionidae
Source: Rfam
GAGACACCCUUAUGGGGCAAGACUUGCUUCAGUGGGGCUUUGGUGCUCAGUGAGUCUGCCCCCUGAGUGUGUCCCU